CCUACGGGAGGCAGCAGUGAGGAAUAUUGGUCAAUGGACGAGAGUCUGAACCAGCCAAGUAGCGUGAAGGAUGACUGCCCUAUGGGUUGUAAACUUCUUUUAUAUGGGAAUAAAAUGUUCCACGUGUGGGAUUUUGUAUGUACCAUAUGAAUAAGGAUCGGCUAAAUCCGUGCCAGCAGCCGCGGUAAUACGGAGGAUCCGAGCGUUAUCCGGAUUUAUUGGGUUUAAAGGGAGCGUAGGUGGAUUGUUAAGUCAGUUGUGAAAGUUUGCGGCUCAACCGUAAAAUUGCAGUUGAAACUGGCAGUCUUGAGUACAGUAGAGGUGGGCGAAAUUCGUGGUGUAGCGGUGAAAUGCUUAGAUAUCACGAAGAACUCCGAUGGCGAAGGCAGCUCACUGGACAGUAACUGACGCUGAGGCGCGAAAGCGUGGGGAGCAAACAGGAUUAGAUACCCUUGUAGUC
RNAcentral lists this ribosomal RNA (460 nucleotides) under uncultured bacterium. RNAcentral describes it as "partial 16S ribosomal RNA". It matches the Rfam family "Bacterial small subunit ribosomal RNA", at positions 338 to 795 of the family's 1533-position model. The record is from RNAcentral.